Molecule: non-coding RNA, 74 nt
Organism: Pangasianodon gigas (Mekong giant catfish)
Lineage: Eukaryota; Metazoa; Chordata; Actinopteri; Siluriformes; Pangasiidae
Source: the annotation of a GenBank genome assembly
GGAAGUGGAAGCUCAGCGGUUAAGGUGUUGGACUACUGAUUAGAAGGUUGUGAGUUCAAAUCUCAGCACUGCUG